This 656-nucleotide long non-coding RNA is filed under the name Astyanax mexicanus (Mexican tetra). RNAcentral describes it as "lncRNA (ENSAMXG00005000459.1)". The record is from RNAcentral. Lineage: Eukaryota; Metazoa; Chordata; Actinopteri; Characiformes; Acestrorhamphidae.
AAAGUCUGUAAAACAAUCACAGGCUUUCUGAAUUGUUCAGUGAAUUCCAUUCAGCUCACUGCUGCUCUUUAUUAUAUAUUAUGCUGAUUGAUAAUAUUCCUGUGUUUUUCUGUCUUUCCUGAUCUUAUCAGCUCACCAGUCUUCAGGAUUUUUUCGGGGAUGAUGACGUGUUCAUCGCCUGCGGCCUCGAGAAGUUCCGUUACGCGCAGGACGAUGCUGCGAUCGGACACGCAGGAAAACCCUCAGCAGCGGCCUUCGUUAAUGAGUGUAAGAUGAAAUCGUCGAAGUCGGCGACUCCUGUAAAGCCGCCCUCAGGUCUGACUAAAAGCUCUCUAGUGACCAGAUCAAAAUCACCGGUUUCAGGCAGUGAUGUAUCAGGAGCUCCCACCCCAGUGAUGAAACCACCGAAGACCCCGAGCAGCUCGGGCAGCCUGAAGAUUUCCUCUCGCCACGUCUCUCCCUCCCCUCCCCCCUCCGGAGAACUGAACGGUGCAGAAGACUUUAGCUUAGAAGGUAACACACACACACACACACACACAAAUACACACACCGCACUUAUCUUCCACAUAUAAGCCUGAGCAGGUUGCCGCAUAUGGCGAAUUCAAGCUGCAUGAAGCUCAAAUCCACUUAUUUAUUCCACUGGGAGACAGCUGCAU